This is a long non-coding RNA of Oncorhynchus keta (chum salmon), 998 nucleotides long. RefSeq lists it as uncharacterized. The transcript has 6 exons. Lineage: Eukaryota; Metazoa; Chordata; Actinopteri; Salmoniformes; Salmonidae. The record is from RefSeq and is a predicted model, not a curated record.
GGGGUGAGAAGGAUUACUUCUAGGUAUUCCUAGGAUAGGAUAUAAUAAUAAUCUCUACCCAGCACAGCCAGAAGAGGACUGGCCACCCCACAUAGCCUGGUUCCUCUCUAGGUUUAUCAUCUCCACCCGGCACUGCCAGAAGAGGACUGGCCACCCCACAUAGCCUGGUUCCUCUUUAGGUUUAUAAUCUCCACCCAGCACUGCCAGAAGAGGACUGGCCACCCCACAUAGCCUGGUUCCUCUCUAGGUUUAUAAUCUCCACCCAGCACUGCCAGAAACGGACUGGCCACCCCACAUAGCCUGGUUCCUCUCUAGGUUUAUAAUCUCCACCCGGCACUGCCAGAAGAGGACUGGCCACCCCACAUAGCCUGGUUCCUCUUUAGGUUUAUAAUCUCCACCCGGCACUGCCAGAAGAGGACUGGCCACCCCACAUAGCCUGGUUCCUCUCUAGGUUUAUAAUCUCCACCCGGCACUGCCAGAAACGGACUGGCCACCCCACAUAGCCUGGUUCCUCUCUAGGUUUAUAAUCUCCACCCGGCACUGCCAGAAACGGACUGGCCACCCCACAUAGCCUGGUUCCUCUCUAGGUUUAUAAUCUCCACCCGGCACUGCCAGAAACGGACUGGCCACCCCACAUAGCCUGGUUCCUCUCUAGGUUUAUAAUCUCCACCCGGCACUGCCAGAAACGGACUGGCCACCCCACAUAGCCUGGUUCCUCUCUAGGUUUAUAAUCUCCACCCGGCACUGCCAGAAACGGACUGGCCACCCCACAUAGCCUGGUUCCUCUCUAGGUUUAUAAUCUCCACCCGGCACUGCCAGAAACGGACUGGCCACCCCACAUAGCCUGGUUCCUCUCUAGGUUUAUAAUCUCCACCCGGCACUGCCAGAAGAGGACUGGCCACCCCACAUAGCCUGGUUCCUCUCUAGGUUUAUAAUCUCCACCCGGCACAGCCAGAAACGGACUGGCCACCCCACAUAGCCUGGUUCCUCUCUAGGUU